GCCUGGCACAUUGGCAUGUGCCUGUAGUCCCAGCUUCUCAGGAGGCUGAGGCUGGAGGAUCGCUUGAGUUCAGGAGUUCUGGGAUGUAGUGUGCUAUGCCAAUCGGGUGUCCACACUAAGUUCGGCAUCAAUAUGGUGACCUCCUGGGAGUAGGAGACCACCAGGUUGCCUGAGGAGGGGUGAACCGGCCCAGAUUGGAAACGGAGCAGGUCAAAACUCCUGUGCUGAUCAGUAGUGAGAUCAUGCCUGUGAAUAGCCACUGCACUCCAGCCUGGGCAAUGUAGCGAGACCCCGUCCCC
This 299-nucleotide signal recognition particle RNA is filed under the name Aotus nancymaae (Ma's night monkey). RNAcentral's name for it is "Metazoan signal recognition particle RNA (ENSANAG00000006376.1)". It matches the Rfam family "Metazoan signal recognition particle RNA". Rfam says of the family: The signal recognition particle (SRP) is a universally conserved ribonucleoprotein. It is involved in the co-translational targeting of proteins to membranes. Lineage: Eukaryota; Metazoa; Chordata; Mammalia; Primates; Aotidae. The record is from RNAcentral.